GACGAACGCUGGCGGCGUGCUUAACACAUGCAAGUCGAACGGAAAGGCCCUGCUUUUGUGGGGUGCUCGAGUGGCGAACGGGUGAGUAACACGUGAGUAACCUGCCCUUGACUUUGGGAUAACUUCAGGAAACUGGGGCUAAUACCGGAUAGGAGCUCCUGCUGCAUGGUGGGGGUUGGAAAGUUUCGGCGGUUGGGGAUGGACUCGCGGCUUAUCAGCUUGUUGGUGGGGUAGUGGCUUACCAAGGCUUUGACGGGUAGCCGGCCUGAGAGGGUGACCGGCCACAUUGGGACUGAGAUACGGCCCAGACUCCUACGGGAGGCAGCAGUGGGGAAUAUUGCACAAUGGGCGGAAGCCUGAUGCAGCAACGCCGCGUUCGGGAUGACGGCCUUCGGGCUGUAAACCGCUUUCGCCUGUGACGAAGCGUGAGUGACGGUAAUGGGUAAAGAAGCACCGGCUAACUACGUG
RNAcentral lists this ribosomal RNA (468 nucleotides) under uncultured bacterium. RNAcentral's name for it is "partial 16S ribosomal RNA". It matches the Rfam family "Bacterial small subunit ribosomal RNA", at positions 28 to 507 of the family's 1533-position model. The record is from RNAcentral.